CCUACGGGUGGCAGCAGUGAGGAAUAUUGGUCAAUGGGAGAGAUCCUGAACCAGCCAAGCCGCGUGAGGGAAGACGGCCCUAUGGGUUGUAAACCUCUUUUGCCGGAGAACAAAACCAGGGACGUGUCGCGGAAUGCGCGUAUCCGAAGAAAAAGCAUCGGCUAACUCCGGGCCAGCAGCCGCGGUAAUACGGAGGAUGCGAGCGUUAUACGGAGUUUAUGGGUGUAAGGGGUGCGUAGGCGGUCCGUUAAGUCAGCUGUAAAAUUGCGGGGCUCAACCGCGGCGAGCCGUUGAAACUGGAAGUCUUGAGUUGGCGAGAGGUACGCGGAAUGCGCGGUGUAGCGGUGAAAUGCAUAGAUA
Molecule: ribosomal RNA, 360 nt
Filed under: uncultured bacterium
Lineage: Bacteria
Description: partial 16S ribosomal RNA
Rfam family: Bacterial small subunit ribosomal RNA
Source: RNAcentral